CUCCCUGGGCUCACCCUCCAGUACCUACUGAACUGAAACACAGUUUUUUUCAUGCAACUGGCUCAGUUCAGCAGGAACCGGAGUGGAGCCCCCUUGGAGC
This 100-nucleotide microRNA precursor is filed under the name Erinaceus europaeus (western European hedgehog). RNAcentral's name for it is "miRNA (ENSEEUG00000016185.1)". The stretch from base 14 to 83 matches the Rfam family "mir-24 microRNA precursor family". Rfam says of the family: This family represents the microRNA (miRNA) mir-24 family. miRNAs are transcribed as ~70nt precursors (modelled here) and subsequently processed by the Dicer enzyme to give a ~22nt product. In this case the mature sequence comes from the 3' arm of the precursor. The extents of the hairpin precursors are not generally known and are estimated based on hairpin prediction. The record is from RNAcentral. Lineage: Eukaryota; Metazoa; Chordata; Mammalia; Eulipotyphla; Erinaceidae.